RNAcentral lists this ribosomal RNA (492 nucleotides) under uncultured bacterium. RNAcentral describes it as "partial 16S ribosomal RNA". It matches the Rfam family "Bacterial small subunit ribosomal RNA", at positions 29 to 507 of the family's 1533-position model. The record is from RNAcentral.
AGUGAACGCUGGCGGUAGGCCUAACACAUGCAAGUCGAACGGCAGCACAGUAAGAGCUUGCUCUUACGGGUGGCGAGUGGCGGACGGGUGAGGAAUACAUCGGAAUCUACUUUUUCGUGGGGGAUAACGUAGGGAAACUUACGCUAAUACCGCAUACGACCUACGGGUGAAAGCAGGGGAUCUUCGGACCUUGCGCGAUUGAAUGAGCCGAUGUCGGAUUAGCUAGUUGGCGGGGUAAAGGCCCACCAAGGCGACGAUCCGUAGCUGGUCUGAGAGGAUGAUCGGCCACACUGGAACUGGGACACGGUCCAGACUCCUACGGGAGGCAGCAGUGGGGAAUAUUAGACAAUGGGCGCAAGCCUGAUCCAGCCAUACCGCGUGGGUGAAGAAGGCCUUCGGGUUGUAAAGCCCUUUUGUUGGGAAAGAAAAGCAGCAGGUUAAUACCCCGCUGUUCUGACGGUACCCAAAGAAUAAGCACCGGCUAACUUCGUG